This 253-nucleotide ribosomal RNA is filed under the name uncultured bacterium. RNAcentral's name for it is "partial 16S ribosomal RNA". It matches the Rfam family "Bacterial small subunit ribosomal RNA", at positions 524 to 776 of the family's 1533-position model. The record is from RNAcentral.
UACGUAGGAUCCGAGCGUUGUCCGGAAUUACUGGGUGUAAAGGGUCUGCAGGCGGGAAGAUAAGUCGGUGGUGAAAUCCCAUAGCUCAACUAUGGAACUGCCUCCGAUACUAUUUUUCUUGAGUUCGAGAGAGGAUAAUGGAAUUCAUGGUGUAGCGGUGAAAUGCGUAGAUAUCAUGAAGAACACCAGUUGCGAAGGCGAUUAUCUGGCUCGAUACUGACGCUCAGGGACGAAAGCAUGGGGAUCAAACAGG